RNAcentral lists this ribosomal RNA (497 nucleotides) under uncultured bacterium. RNAcentral's name for it is "partial 16S ribosomal RNA". It matches the Rfam family "Bacterial small subunit ribosomal RNA", at positions 28 to 507 of the family's 1533-position model. The record is from RNAcentral.
GAUGAACGCUGGCGGCGUGCCUAAUACAUGCAAGUCGAGCGAACGGACGAGAAGCUUGCUUUUCUGAUGUUAGCGGCGGACGGGUGAGUAACACGUGGAUAACCUACCUAUAAGACUGGGAUAACUUCGGGAAACCGGAGCUAAUACCGGAUAAUAUUUUGAACCGCAUGGUUCAAAAGUGAAAGACGGUCUUGCUGUCACUUAUAGAUGGAUCCGCGCUGCAUUAGCUGGUUGGUAAGGUAACGGCUUACCAAGGCAACGAUGCAUAGCCGACCUGAGAGGGUGAUCGGCCACACUGGAACUGAGACACGGUCCAGACUCCUACGGGAGGCAGCAGUAGGGAAUCUUCCGCAAUGGGCGAAAGCCUGACGGAGCAACGCCGCGUGAGUGAUGAAGGUCUUCGGAUCGUAAAACUCUGUUAUUAGGGAAGAACAUAUGUGUAAGUAACUGUGCACAUCUUGACGGUACCUAAUCAGAAAGCCCCGGCUAACUACGUG